CACCGGCAGAAUCACUGUUCAGACAGGCGGAGACGGGUCUUUCUCGCCCUCUGAUGAGUCACCACUGUGGUGG
MicroRNA precursor from Gorilla gorilla gorilla (western lowland gorilla), 73 nucleotides. Ensembl annotates it as microRNA 1208. The record is from Ensembl. NCBI's taxonomy places the organism in Eukaryota, Metazoa, Chordata, Mammalia, Primates, Hominidae.